Molecule: ribosomal RNA, 444 nt
Filed under: uncultured Pelotomaculum sp.
Lineage: Bacteria; Bacillati; Bacillota; Clostridia; Eubacteriales; Desulfotomaculaceae
Description: bacterial SSU rRNA
Rfam family: Bacterial small subunit ribosomal RNA
Source: RNAcentral
UUUAAUUCGACGCAACGCGCAGAACCUUACCUAGACUUGACAUCCCGGGGAUUUUCUGGAAACAGAGAAGUGCUUUAGCAAUAAAGAACCCGGUGACAGGUGCUGCAUGGUUGUCGUCAGCUCGUGUCGUGAGAUGUUGGGUUAAGUCCCGCAACGAGCGCAACCCCUACGUUUAGUUGCUAACAGGUGAAGCUGAGCACUCUAGACGAACUGCCGUUGACAAAACGGAGGAAGGUGGGAUGACGUCAAAUCAUCAUGCCCCUUAUGUUCUGGGCUACACACGUGCUACAAUGGCCGGUACAGACGGAGGCGAAGCCGCGAGGCGGAGCAAAUCCGAAAAAGCCGGUCUCAGUUCGGAUUGCAGGCUGCAAUUCGCCUGCAUGAAGUCGGAAUCGCUAGUAAUCGCAGGUCCAGCAUACUGCGGUGAAUACGUUCCCGGGCCUU